GUAUCUGUCAGUGCUGGCUGAGUCUGCCUGUGUGUGCCAGUGUUAAAGGGUGGCCUUCCCUUGCUGUUUCAGGGUGCUUACAGUAGGGUAGGAAAGAAGAACCUGCUUUGGAGCAGCAUGGAAAUAAGUAGCAAAAGCUUUAUGAAAGAACAAGGAACUGGGAACAGCAAAAUUACUCAAGGAGGUCUAGUCCUGAGAGGAGGUCAAACACUGCUGCUACAAGGAACUAGAAGUGUUUUGCACCAGUUUUGUCAAACAGGGUUCCAGGUAGACCUUUGUGUGAUGCUGUGUGCUGACAGAGAACUCUGGCAAGCGCAUCUUCCAUCUUCAGGUGUGUGCAUGCAGGAGCUAGAGGUGGAAGUGACAAAGGCAAAAGAGGCUGUACUGACCUUUAUGAAAGAAGAGAUCCAUGGGGAAAGGUUUCUUUCUGAUGGACAGGAAGCUAUCCAAUUCAACCAUUAA
Taeniopygia guttata (zebra finch) is the source of this 462-nucleotide long non-coding RNA. NCBI's taxonomy places the organism in Eukaryota, Metazoa, Chordata, Aves, Passeriformes, Estrildidae. The record is from Ensembl.